AGCUCGUAGUUGAACCUUGGGCCUGGCUGGCCGGUCCGCCUCACCGCGUGUACUGGUCCGGCCGGGCCUUUCCCUCUGUGGAACCUCAUGCCCUUCACUGGGUGUGGCGGGGAAACAGGACUUUUACUUUGAAAAAAUUAGAGUGCUCCAGGCAGGCCUAUGCUCGAAUACAUUAGCAUGGAAUAAUAAAAUAGGACGUGUGGUUCUAUUUUGUUGGUUUCUAGGACCGCCGUAAUGAUUAAUAGGGACAGUCGGGGGCAUCAGUAUUCAAUUGUCAGAGGUGAAAUUCUUGGAUUUAUUGAAGACUAACUACUGCGAAAGCAUUUGCCAAGGAUGUUUUCAUUAAUCAGGAACGAAAGUUAGGGGAUCGAAGACGAUCAGAUACCGUCGUAGUCUUAACCAUAAACUAUGCCGACUAGGGAUCGGACGAUGUUAUUUUUUGACGCGUUCGG
This 452-nucleotide ribosomal RNA is filed under the name uncultured Lecanicillium. Its description in RNAcentral is "SSU rRNA". It matches the Rfam family "Eukaryotic small subunit ribosomal RNA", at positions 625 to 1083 of the family's 1831-position model. Lineage: Eukaryota; Fungi; Ascomycota; Sordariomycetes; Hypocreales; Cordycipitaceae. The record is from RNAcentral.